This 456-nucleotide long non-coding RNA is filed under the name Lotus japonicus. Its description in RNAcentral is "long non-coding RNA (LJAP_LNC001677)". Lineage: Eukaryota; Viridiplantae; Streptophyta; Magnoliopsida; Fabales; Fabaceae. The record is from RNAcentral.
UUGACGACAAUUAUCCAAACAACAUAUAUAGUUACUUAAUUGCAAGGUUUUCUCUGAUGAAAACCUAUUGGUUAAGGUGGACGUACAAGAGUAUGUGGAAUCUCUCUUGUUCAAGAAAAUUGCUAUUUUAGGUGAGCUAUGUGGGUCAUGUCCAACAAAAGUGCCCCUGGUCCAUCUUGAUGGAAUUCUGAUGCAAGUUGCUUGUUAAUGAGUAAACUUUUAGAUACAUGCAUUUUCUUAACAGGUUCACUAUUUCUUUUUAAUUUGUUCUUGCACUUUCAAUUUAGUAAGUCAAUCAUGGCUGGCAUUAUCCUGAGAGAAACCAGAUGUGCAUUGAUGAACCUAACUUUGUACUUAAAGCUAUGUGCUUUAUGGUUGCAAAUGUAUUUAAGAACUAAUGGUGGGUAGAAAGUAUGAUUCGCAUGUUAAUUACAAUUAGACUUUUAUGCAAAGAAG